GAAAAUGGGUAAAUGCAGUCAUUGUGACACUCAGUUUGGUGAGGCUUUGGCAGCACAUUUACCUUGUGGAGACAAGAUCUGUUUGAGAUGUUUUGCUGAUAUCCAAGUGACAGAUUCAUGGGAAUGCCCCAAAUGUAGUGCUGCAAUACCUUCAUCAUACAAACCAUGCAACAGCUCAGAAGAAGACAGGGAGGUGUUUCAAGAAUAUCGUGACUACCAGAAGUGCUGCAACACUUUCCUCAUGGCUGUGGUGUCCAAGCUGUGUCUGAGUGGGAAGGAUGCCCCUGAGAGUGCUGUGGUGCAGAAAAUCUUCAGCUACAUCAUUUAUAAGGCGAGACAUGGCCAGACAGAGGGGCGACUGCAUACCAAAAAGAUGUCUGUAUUCAGUGACACAAUUGAUUCCACACCGGUGGUUAGAUCCUUUCUUCUUCAACUUCUCAUACGCAAAAGUGAAGAAACUGUGCAGGACUACCUCCAGGAUUUCUUCUUGCAAGCCAAAGCCCUGUGUGAACAAGGGACAGAUGAGACGUCUCAGGAUACUAUAGACAGAAUUGUUCAGUUCAGUCUUCUUGUGAUACACUGCUUUGAGGACCUGUAUCAUGAAAGAGCAGCCAGUGUUUGUAGUCCAGAUGAAGAAAUGAAGAUGGCAAGAUUCCAUCUUGCUGAAGCCAGACAAUUCAUCAUGGUGAAAGAACUUGACAUGGCGAAGAUGUUUACUGUAGCCAAAUGUCGUUAUGGCCUGUCAGUUGCUGCUAAGUUCUUACAUGCAGUGUUAGUUCAGAAGACUCUUUCUCAGUCAGGACCAUUUGACCAACUGAUCCAGGAAGUGACAGAUCUGUUGGACUUUAUCAGGAUGGACUGGCCAAAGAAAUUUCUUGUGAAGCAGAUUUGUAGAGAAUUUGGCACUGACAGCUAUCAGACAAUCUGUAGAGCAGCUGGAUGGCUUGCCCUUGACACAACAAAUGAGAUUAUUGAGUGUCCAGACAGAUACUUGGUGUGCCCACUCAGCUAUCAGAAAAUCAGAGAAGCUGUGGCCAAAACUCUCCUUGGACAAAACAUAAAGCCACUGAAAUCAUUGGUUAAGAAUAAUGAAAUGUUAUUCCUCCUGGCACUGCACAGAGAAGUUACCAUGAAAAACAUCAACCCAAGCAGUGAAACUCCUAUACUGCAGAAGUCUUCACACAAGAUAACUACAUACAUACAGAAUGCCAAUGGAACCAUGAAAGCAAAAGAACUUGCUCUGAAGCUGCUGAAGAAUGAGUUUGGUAGACCUGGCUCCCCCCUGAACGUCACAGAAGGACAGGGAGUGAGAGACCAGAGUCUGGUGUGCCUGCUGCUACACACACAUCUCGUUCUGACACACUUCAACAACAAGCCAGGCUUUCUGAAACCACUUUCCGAUCUCAUACUGCAUCCAGAAGACAUGGUGGACAAGUUUUUGCCUACAAUGCCACAGGAUGAUACAAUGUUGUACCAUGAGAUACUACUGAGAUCAAUGAAGGAUGCAGACGAAACUGUGAAAACAUUCAACUGCCCAAAUGGACAUACAUAUGUCAUAACAGAGUGUGGGCGACCAUACACAGCAGGACGUUGUAAUGAGUGCGGGGAGAGAAUUGGAGGCAGGGAUCAUGCUGCAUUUGAUGGAAACACACCUCAUGAUGGGCAGGACCAGACCCGUCCUGGUCAUGUUCUUGGAAGAGCAGCAGACAGAACCAAUGCCUAUGCAGGUGAACGCAGACUGGGAGGAGCUGUCUGUGCUGUACUGCGUUUCUUCACUCAUGCUGCUUUACUUUUGGGAGCAGAGAACAGCCCAGAGGCCACAUCAGCUCUAGUCUAUCCCCAACUACAGCAGGAUGUCAGACAGUUUUUCUUGGAACACCUCCAGAAGGACCUUCAGAUCAUCCACAUGGCCACAGGAAAAAGUGUAGAUGAUGUCUUCCUCCUCCUACACUUCAUCUGCCAUCAGAUUUCUCAAUCAGACAAGCCCCGGAGAAAUGAUGGAAGAAUCCUGACUGACAAGUCCAAAAGAGAGAAUUGGGAAGAGGAGUUUUCAAAGACAUUUAUCAGUCCACCACUUCAAGAUCUGGAAGCUUGUCUUGAAACAUGCAAUGACAGAAUUCGAAGAGAUGAUAGAAUAGGUUCCAACAAGCUGAUGUCUGUUCUGUAUGAAGUACCACCAGUAGACAUGACCACUCCCCAGGAAGUUGACUGUCUCCACGAGUUCCCAGCUGUCUGGAGGUACCGGUCACGUAUCACAUUGGAGCAUUUCCUGAGAGAGUUUCAUCUGAAAGUAGAGAACAUCAAGGGCAAGAAUUCCAAGACUGAGGUGCUCAGUCUCUUCAGUCAAGAGCAUCAACACCUGCAGGCAUUGCACCACAUCCCUAACAUUCUCCAUCUGCAACAACUUCUUAUGGAGAAGUACAGGCAUCGCCUUGAUCUCUCUCAGGCCUGUGAAAUGACCAUCACAGACAUUUUCUCAACUGAAGAUGAGGGUUUUAAGAAGGAUGUAAAUGAGCUGAUGCCUGAUUUGGUUGCUGCUUGGGAAUGUGUCAAGGAGAGUCUGCAUGGAUGUUGGACAGUCCAUGAUGGUCUGAUACACCUGCCUGAUGCCUACAAGAACAUGAGAAUAGAUGAGAACUCUCAUCUGGCUGUCCUUCUGCCGUCCACUCAAGGGCCUGGCAUCUGCUCCUACAUGAUGCUGGAGUUCCUCUUCAGGAAGCAUAAUGAAUUCAUGGAGAGUUACUGUGAAAAGAUCAGUUCCAGCUAUGAGCGCCUGCCUGAGGUCAGCAUGAGGAAACUUCACAGCAACCACCUGGUCAGCUACCACCCUGACCGUGACCUGCUGCCCCUUGUUCUGGCCAACUGUAACUACUCCUUUGAGCUGGGGAAAGGUACCACCAUUGAGUAUGACUUUGAAGGAUUUGAGUAUCAGCUCAAAGAAGUCAUACUACAGGCCAAGUCCAGAGUGGAGCAGAAGUCGCAUGUCAUACCAAUUGACCAAAUGGUAUACAGGGCAGAUUCAGGAAAUGUAGCAGUGUUAAAGACACUUCAAGACAGAAUUCCACAGGAGCCAUUGUCUCGAGCAGUCAAGCUUCAAAUUGUGUCUGAACUAAAAUCCAGCCUGCCAGAUGUCUGUGACUCCAUCAACAACUUGGACAUCACCACCAGUUUCCUCAAGACUUUGGGAGGAGAACCAGACAAGCCACUGCAGAUUUUUAUGACAGCUGUGCUCAAAAUGAAACAGACAAUAACUAGCCAGAAGGUGCGGCAGGUUUGUGAGUUCAGGCAUGUUCAAUCACUGUGGCUUUUACUGACAUUCCAGAAGUCAGUGAUACUUGCUGAACACCACCAGGAUCCAUUCAGCAAUCUUGACAGUGAACACAAAGUAGAUCUUUGUGAGGAAGAAAGAACAAAUCUACUUGAGUUCUGUCAGAGGAAAAGUCCUGACAAGCUGGAGUUUCUCCUUCAAGAGAUGUUCGACUGUCUCUUGCUGUGGGUGGCUGUACCUGCUGACAACUCUGAUGGACCAAGUCCAAAGUCCAUGAGCCUGAAAGACUUGCUGCAAGGUCACCUGGACAGGUCACUGAACAGUGAUGAAGGUCUAGGAAUCAGAUCAAGCAGCAUUGAUCAGACCCUGACAGAGGAAGACAUUGACUCACUCCCACAAGGCAUCAAGGGCAUGCACAUUCCUAACACAUGGCUGUUGCUGCUGCAGGAGAUCAGCCGACGCAGGAAGGAGAUGUAGCUGAUGCUGAUCCCAGUGUCAAUGGAUAAUGUAUUGUACUUCAAGUCUAAAUCUUUACAACCUCUCCUGUGCAGCAUGUAUUUCAUAGCUGAUGUCCAUGGCGGGAAUAUGUGAUGUUUUUACAUACUUUUUAAAAGAAUUAUUUGUUGAUAUUUGUAUGAUAGUUGAUGAUUAGUUUUUGAAAUCUUCUUUAUCAAUCGUGAACCUUUAAACAGACAAACAGUUAUUGGUUUAAUUUACAUGAUAUAGGUUUUCAGCAUAUACUCUUUGUUGUUAUGAUUGAUGUUUUAUUGGACUACCUGUUGACCACUGAAAUCUUAACAGCUCUAAAUGGGAUACGUAACCCAGAGAGGCAGAACUUUUGAGUAACAACUUGUUAACCUAAUUUAGAGAAUAUAGGCAUUUGUUGUGUUGUGGCUUUGUAAAUAGUGGUUUGAUAAAUGCACAGGGACUGUAAAUCUAUGCAUGCAUUGACUUGUACUCAGCAUUAUCACUGAAGGGGUACCUGGUAGGUUCAGUGUCAACACAUUGACUUGUACUCAGCAUUAUCACUGAAGGGGUACCUGGUAGGUUCAGUGUCAACACAUUGACCAACAAGCAUCAAUAGGUCUGUUUAUGUUUACAAUGUCAGUAAGAGUUGAAGAACAUGGUUAUUGCUAUGUAAUACUGAUGGAGACUUUAAUGAAACUAGAAACAUGGACAACAACAAUUAAAAUCACAAAAAGAGCAAGAUUAAAGGUAAUGGAAACUACUACCCUAAACACAUGUCUGAAUGCAACCAAGUCCAUGCACCACAAGUGACAGUCAAUGUGGGCAUCAAUGGUUAAUUCCAGAUGUAACUGAACUGCACUCUUCGAACUUGAAAAUGUGACAUUUUAUCUGGUUCCCCAAUUGUGAUACUGAGUACAUAUAAUAGUAUUUUCAGACUUAUUUCUAUGAUUGGCUGUGUACAUGGAUUUGAAACUCAUUUACAUGAUAUUUCAUGCAGAGAUUAUUUUUGAUUUGACAUAGUGUACUUUCAUUGAAUUUGAAACAUGUUUUAUGAUAUUUAGAAAAUUAUAUAUUUUGCUAGUUUUUACUGUUAUGCUUUUGUAUAAUUUUCUCUUAAGGUUAUAUAUAUAUUACAUAUUAACUAUUUUGCUAUUUUAUUUCCUGUUAUGCUUCACUCAUGUUUCUUUCAAGGUUGCAGAAAGGUGCAUCACUUUUUUCUGCUUUGAUUAGUGUUUGGUCAACAGUGUUUCAUUUGCUUUCAAUAAUGUUUUUGUUUGGUGUUACAGUUUAUCAGUAACAACAUAGGAGUUUGUAAUUGUUGCUUAUGUUUUUAAUACUGUAACCUCCCAUUGUAACUAGCCCUCAGCUUACUGAAAUUAACUUAUUAAUCAAUGCACCAAAAAGACCAUCAGCAAUAUUCUCAUUUACAGCUGUUCUUCAAGAUACGUUUUAGGAGUGGUGCCUGAUUAUUUAUUCUUGAUACAAUUUUGUUGUUGAGUGAUGUGUUGAAACAUCAGUGUGUGUUAUUAGUAUUGGUCCCAUGUUUGUUGAGGUCAUAUCCCCUGUACGUGACUUCAGCUCAGUACAAUGGAAAGCUGUUGCAUUUCAAAUUUGAGGUAAAAGAAAAUUUGAAGAAAGUACAAAAAGUUUGUUUUGUUAUUCAUUUUCAGCAUUUGUUUAAGCCCAUAAGCCUGGGGAAGCUAUAAGAAAAUUUAUUAUUAAUACUGGUAAUUUGCCGUUGUGUUGGGUCACACUGAGAGUAUCGGGUGAACUUGGAGUCUCUUAAUGAUGGGUUUAGUUUUAAAAACACUUCUGAUAUUUGUAUUAAGCAAUAUUUCAUCAUUUAUAUUUCACUACUGUGUUAUGAAAGUUCCAAUUUUAGGUCGUACUGAUUGUUGGCAUUUUUUCCAAACUGUAUGUAUAGUGAUGUGUGCCGAUCAUAUGGAUGUACCUGUAUGUUAUCAUCUGUAGGUAGGUGGUAUGUACAGGCUUACCUUAGUGUAGAACCAUUAUGAUCUUCAUAUCAGUAUGGUGAUGUAUAAUGUUUAACUGUUUCCAUUCCAUCUACACAGUUAGGGACUAUAUAGUUUGUUUACCUGUACAUUUGUUAUAGAGAGGUCUUAAUACAAUGUAGAAACAACAUGUAGAAAUAACAUGUUUGUAAAAAUUAUGAAGGAUUCCUUAUGAAAGAAAUAUCCAAAUCAUCUUCAUCCUUGGGCAAUGUUACAAACACUCCUGGUUAUCAUCAGUGUCCACAUUGUACUUAUGUCUAAAAGGCAUCCAUUGUCAUGUAGUCACACACUGUAAAUAGUAGUCAGUAUCUGUGCUACAGUUAUAUACACCAGUUAUCACAAUGUCACACACUGUAAAUAGUAGUCGGUAUCUGUGCUACAGUUAUAUACAUCAGUUAUCACAAUGUCACACACUGUAAAUAGUAGUCAGUAUCUGUGCUACAUUAUAUACACCAGUUAUCACAAUGUAACACACUGUAAAUAGUAGUCAGUAUCUGUGCU
This 6249-nucleotide unclassified non-coding RNA is filed under the name Haliotis rubra (blacklip abalone). Its description in RNAcentral is "e3 ubiquitin-protein ligase RNF213-like, transcript variant X2". The record is from RNAcentral. Lineage: Eukaryota; Metazoa; Mollusca; Gastropoda; Lepetellida; Haliotidae.